Molecule: ribosomal RNA, 566 nt
Filed under: Alcaligenes aquatilis
Lineage: Bacteria; Pseudomonadati; Pseudomonadota; Betaproteobacteria; Burkholderiales; Alcaligenaceae
Description: bacterial SSU rRNA
Rfam family: Bacterial small subunit ribosomal RNA
Source: RNAcentral
AGUGGCGGACGGGUGAGUAAUAUAUCGGAACGUGCCCAGUAGCGGGGGAUAACUACUCGAAAGAGUGGCUAAUACCGCAUACGCCCUACGGGGGAAAGGGGGGGAUCGCAAGACCUCUCACUAUUGGAGCGGCCGAUAUCGGAUUAGCUAGUUGGUGGGGUAAAGGCUCACCAAGGCAACGAUCCGUAGCUGGUUUGAGAGGACGACCAGCCACACUGGGACUGAGACACGGCCCAGACUCCUACGGGAGGCAGCAGUGGGGAAUUUUGGACAAUGGGGGAAACCCUGAUCCAGCCAUCCCGCGUGUAUGAUGAAGGCCUUCGGGUUGUAAAGUACUUUUGGCAGAGAAGAAAAAGGUAUCCCCUAAUACGGGAUACUGCUGACGGUAUCUGCAGAAUAAGCACCGGCUAACUACGUGCCAGCAGCCGCGGUAAUACGUAGGGUGCAAGCGUUAAUCGGAAUUACUGGGCGUAAAGCGUGUGUAGGCGGUUCGGAUAGAAAGAUGUGAAAUCCCAGGGCUCACCCUUGGAACUGCAUUUUUAACUGCCGAGCUAGAGUAUGUCAGA